CCAACUUCAGCACCGAGGUGUUUCUUUCUCCCAUCGUCUUAUUCUCUCUAUCUAUAUUUCUGCCUUUAACCAUUGUAAAUCCUUCGCUUUCCUUUGCUUUUUUAUUCCGAGUUUUCCCCCUUUUAUUUUGUGAGCCCUGUAUAAUAUUGAAACCCUUAUUGUUGUUGCUUGAACUUAGCUACCUUUCCCUUCCCUUCCCUUUCUCAUGAAUCGCUUCAAUUUAAGUUCAAUUUGGGUAAUUCGCCAUGAUUUCUUCUUCCAAUUGCGGUCAACCUAGUUCGCUGGAUCUGGGCUCGUCCAUAUUUGCGAUAAAGUUAGGGUUUUCUCCCCCAAUUUUGUCCCAAAUAUUGACGGAUUUUCGUUUCUGAAUGUCCAAUUUUGUCACCAGAAGUGUGUCUUGUUGAAAUUACCUCCCUUUAAACCUGGGUUUCUUUGAUUAAAACCCUUCAAAGGGGAGAAAACCCCUUUUUACUGGUUUCUCGUUUGUCCGUAGCCUUAGUUGUUUGGAAUUUGUAAUAAAGUAAGCUUCUUUCUAGCUUGCACUGUGAUGGCGGAAGAGACUUCGGAUGCUAUGAACCUUGAUUUGAAUCUGGGUCCAGGCCCUGACCCAACCAUAUCAACUGAUGGUCUGAACUUGGAUGAUUGGAUUGAGGAGCCUCUUCAGAGAAUCAGUGAAGCUGUGAGGCUCAGGGGGAGGCAACGGUGGAGGUGGCGGCAUAUCCCUAUACCUCCUCCCGAAGUUCCGCUUCACCUUCCCCCGGAAGCCCCUAGGCAAUUUCAUAUACCCCCUGAAGCAAGGAACAUCUCAAUGGAAUUGAACCAGUUUUUGGUUAAUUCUGGUCAAGGGGGUGCAUUGCAGGCUGGUGAAGGCAGUGUGGCAGCUGAGGAAAGGACGGAGGUGGCACCAAAAGCUUGUGAGAACAACAAUGGUGUUAUGGAUGAUGCGGCUUUGGAGAAGAAGGAUGAUGAUGAGAAAAGUGGUGGCACUGAUGGGGACUUCUUUGAUUGUAAUAUCUGUUUAGACCUGGCCAGGGAUCCUGUUGUGACUUGCUGUGGUCAUUUGUUCUGUUGGCCGUGCCUGUAUCGAUGGCUGCAUCUGCACUCGGAUGCCAAGGAGUGUCCGGUUUGUAAAGGAGAGGUGACUUUCAAGAAUGUUACACCAAUAUAUGGUCGUGGAAAUAGUGUCCGCAAUGCUGAGGACGAUCCCACCCUGAAAGUCCCUCUGAGGCCCCCAGCCAGGCGUGUCGAGAGUCUGAGACAAACCAUUCAGAGAACUGCAUUUGCACUCCCUGUGGAAGAGAUGAUUCGUCGUCUUGGAAGCAGGAUUGAUCUCACUAGGGAUUUACUUCACCCGCAUGAACCAGACAAUGCCCGUGAAACAGCAGAAAGAACUAGUUCAUUGCUAAGUAGGUUUUUGACAUCUCGAGGUAUAAGGAGAGAGCAAAACAUUGGGGCUCCUGCAGAUGACGUAGUGGGUUUGACGCAUAAUAAUGUUAAUGUUAAUGUUAAUAGUCAUGAGGCUGGGGAUAAUCGCAGGGCCCAAUCCCUUCUACUUAGAAGAACACAGUCACAUAGGGCAACACUUUCUACCCUUUCAUCAGCACUGAAUUCUGCUGAAAGGCUAGUUGAGGCAUAUUUCCGUAGCCAUCCAUUAGGUAGAAACCAAGAGCAGCCUCCUCCAGUUGAUGAUAGAGAUUCCUUUUCAAGCAUCGGUGCCGUCAUCAAUUCCGAGAGUCAGGUGGACACUGCUGUAGAAAUUGAUUCCAUGGUAUCCUUGUCAACAUCCUCUUCUAGGAGGAGAAAUGAUGCUUCAAGAGUGUCUGAUGUGGAUAGUGGAGACUCUCGCGCUCCAAGGCGCAGACGUUUGAACUGAUAGAAGUUUUAGAGCAAGUUAUUACUUUUUUUUAUCAUGUAACACAUAUGAUAAUAAUUUUCCAACACCUAUAACUAUCUCAUGGGGAAUGGUCAACGGCAAUUUAAAGCUUCUGUCCUUGUUGCCUUGUCAAUAAUGCAGGUUGUGCUAAAAGCAAAGUUGUUGUAGACAAUUAAUUUAUACAGUGAAAAAUUGUGGAUAUACUAGACCAGGCUAGUAGCUAUUAUUGUAUGGUAGAAUGUUAACGCUUUGUUUCAUAAUUAUCCCUUGAAACCCAUGGUAGAUUUUCUUGUCUCGAGAUACAUUGUUUAGAUGGGGGUGUAGCCAUGGUUUUGUUAAGUCUCAUUGAGGGUUCUCUGAUUUUAUGUAUGAAGCGUAGUAUGCAUAUUCCUUCUAAUAAGAUAUUCCUAGGUUCAUAUGAAUGAAUUCCAGUUUAAUGGUUCUGAUUA
This is an RNA transcript of Arachis ipaensis, 2322 nucleotides long. It is a transcript of the gene named RING/U-box superfamily protein, with no coding region annotated. The record is from RefSeq and is a predicted model, not a curated record. Lineage: Eukaryota; Viridiplantae; Streptophyta; Magnoliopsida; Fabales; Fabaceae.